RNAcentral lists this ribosomal RNA (479 nucleotides) under uncultured bacterium. RNAcentral describes it as "bacterial SSU rRNA". It matches the Rfam family "Bacterial small subunit ribosomal RNA", at positions 29 to 481 of the family's 1533-position model. The record is from RNAcentral.
AACGAACGCUGGCGGCGUGGAUAAGACAUGCAAGUCGAGCGGGACAUCUCGGGUAGCAAUAUUCGAGAUGUCUAGCGGCGAAAGGGUGCGUAACACGUGGGCAAUCUGCCAUGAAGUUCGGAAUAACUCGCUGAAAGGCGAGCUAAUGCCGGAUGUGAUCAUUGAGGGACAUCCUUUGAUGAUUAAAGCUGGGGACCGAAAGGCCUGACGCUUCAUGAUGAGCCCGCGGCCUAUCAGCUAGUUGGUGAGGUAACGGCUCACCAAGGCUAAGACGGGUAGCUGGUCUGAGAGGACGACCAGCCACACUGGAACUGAGACACGGUCCAGACACCUACGGGUGCAGCAGUCGAGAAUUUUUCACAAUGGGGGAAACCCUGAUGGAGCGACGCCGCGUGGGGGAUGAAUGGCUUCGGCCCGUAAACCCCUGUCAUUCGGGAUCAAUGCCUGCGGCCUAAUACGUUGCAGGUUGAUAGUACCGG